ACUUCCUACGGGACGCAGCAGUGGGGAAUAUUGCACAAUGGGGGGAACCCUGAUGCAGCGACGCCGCGUGAGUGAAGAAGUAUUUCUGUAUGUAAAGCUCUAUCAGCAGGGAAGAAAAUGACGGUACCUGACUAAGAAGCCCCGGCUAACUACGUACCAGCAGCCGCGGUACUACGUAGGGGGCAAGCGUUAUCCGGAUUUACUGGGUGUCAAGGGAGCGUAGACGGCAGAGCAAGUCUGAAGUGAAAUCCCGCGGCCGAACUGCGGGACUGCUUUGG
RNAcentral lists this ribosomal RNA (278 nucleotides) under uncultured bacterium. RNAcentral describes it as "partial 16S ribosomal RNA". It matches the Rfam family "Bacterial small subunit ribosomal RNA", at positions 334 to 629 of the family's 1533-position model. The record is from RNAcentral.